UACGGGGGGGGCAAGCGUUGUUCGGAAUUACUGGGCGUAAAGGGCUCGUAGGCGGCCAACUAAGUCGGAUGUGAAAUCCCCAGGCUUAACCUGGGAACUGCAUCCGAUACUGGAUGGCUUGAAUCCGGGAGAGGGAUGCGGAAUUCCAGGUGUAGCGGUGAAAUGCGUAGAUAUCUGGAGGAACACCGGUGGCGAAGGCGGCAUCCUGGACCGGCAUUGACGGCUGAGGAGCGAAAGCCAGGGGAGCAAACGGGG
This 255-nucleotide ribosomal RNA is filed under the name uncultured bacterium. RNAcentral's name for it is "partial 16S ribosomal RNA". It matches the Rfam family "Bacterial small subunit ribosomal RNA", at positions 524 to 777 of the family's 1533-position model. The record is from RNAcentral.